RNAcentral lists this unclassified non-coding RNA (216 nucleotides) under plant metagenome. RNAcentral describes it as "partial contains small subunit ribosomal RNA, internal transcribed spacer 1, and 5.8S ribosomal RNA". The record is from RNAcentral.
UUUCCGUAGGUGAACCUGCGGAAGGAUCAUUACCAAACGUGCCUUCGGGUCCAACCCUGCCUACAUACCUUCUGUUGCUUUGGCGGGUCGUCCGUCCCGGCCGCCGGCGCCCCGCUGGCGCGCGCCCGCCCGAGGACCCCCAACCCUGAUGUGAACGUGUCGUCCGAGAAUACCAUUCAAUCGUUAAAACUUUCAACAACGGAUCUCUUGGUUCUG